RNAcentral lists this ribosomal RNA (393 nucleotides) under uncultured bacterium. RNAcentral describes it as "bacterial SSU rRNA". It matches the Rfam family "Bacterial small subunit ribosomal RNA", at positions 28 to 419 of the family's 1533-position model. The record is from RNAcentral.
GACGAACGCUGGCGGCGUGCUUAACACAUGCAAGUCGAGCGGUAAGGCCCUUUCGGGGGUACGACGAGCGGCGAACGGGUGAGUAACACGUGGGUGACCUGCCCUCAGCUCUGGGAUAAGCCUGGGAAACCGGGUCUAAUACUGGAUAUGACUCCAUGACGCAUGUUGGUGGGGUGGAAAGCCUUGUGCGGCUGAGGAUGGGCCCGCGGCCUAUCAGCUUGUUGGCGGGGUGANGGCCUACCAAGGCGACGACGGGUAGCCGGCCUGAGAGGGCGACCGGCCACACUGGGACUGAGACACGGGCCCAGACUCCUACGGGAGGCAGCAGUGGGGAAUCUUGCGCAAUGGGCGAAAGCCUGACGCAGCGACGCCGCGUGAGGGAUGACGGCCUGG